AGUGAACGCUGGCGGUAGGCCUAACACAUGCAAGUCGAACGGCAGCACAGUAAGAGCUUGCUCUUACGGGUGGCGAGUGGCGGACGGGUGAGGAAUACAUCGGAAUCUACUUUUUCGUGGGGGAUAACGUAGGGAAACUUACGCUAAUACCGCAUACGACCUACGGGUGAAAGCAGGGGAUCUUCGGACCUUGCGCGAUUGAAUGAGCCGAUGUCGGAUUAGCUAGUUGGCGGGGUAAAGGCCCACCAAGGCGACGAUCCGUAGCUGGUCUGAGAGGAUGAUCAGCCACACUGGAGCUGAGACACGGUCCAGGCUCCUACGGGAGGCAGCAGUGGGGAAUAUUGGACAAUGGGCGCAAGCCUGAUCCAGCCAUACCGCGUGGGUGAAGAAGGCCUUCGGGUUGUAAAGCCCUUUUGUUGGGGAAGAAAAGCAGCAGGUUAAUACCCCGCUGUUCUGACGGUACCCAAAGAAUAAGCACCGGCUAACUUCGUG
Molecule: ribosomal RNA, 492 nt
Filed under: uncultured bacterium
Lineage: Bacteria
Description: partial 16S ribosomal RNA
Rfam family: Bacterial small subunit ribosomal RNA
Source: RNAcentral